This is a long non-coding RNA of Triticum aestivum (bread wheat), 2924 nucleotides long. RefSeq lists it as uncharacterized. The transcript has 3 exons. The record is from RefSeq and is a predicted model, not a curated record. Lineage: Eukaryota; Viridiplantae; Streptophyta; Magnoliopsida; Poales; Poaceae.
CUCUCGCACUCACCGCCCCCUUUCCUCUUCCUCCUUCCUCACCUCUCUCUACCCCUCGACCGUGCUCGCCUCCCUGCCCCGCCGCCAUCCAGAUCGCUUCCGCUCGCCGUCGCCGCGUCCUCUCCUCCUCCCUGCCCUCUCGGUGCAUGCUCAGCGGGACGAGCGCGGCUCGCCGGACCUAGCCCGCAUCUCUGGCGUUGUGCGUUGUGGUUCUGGUCCGGUCGCAGGUCGCCGCCAUGGGAAAGCACGGGCUGAAUGGUACUCCCCGUCUCCCCUCUGUGCCCUCUCUCUUCCCCGACCUCUUUCUCUUCCCGCGUUCUCGAUCUUGUGCCACCACACAUCCUGGUUCUGGAUCGGGCUCAGAGAGCAUGGCUGGUGUGGUCUUCAUGCUUAGUGAGGAGGAGCAGGGGAGGGUGAGUAGGACGGGCAUGGGGAAGGAGCAGCCAGGCCGGAGCUCCGGCGUCGCUCGCGUCAUAGUGGAAUGGAGCCGACCAUCACUAUGGGCUGCAUCCCGCCAGUCAUCGUACCCCAAUCUCUGUUGCACAUCUUUGGAUUCACCAUCUUCCUCCCCUGUUUUUUUCUACCUCUUGCCCCCUGGUUCUUUAAUAUAAUUUGGAUUUGUUGUUUUAUGUUUUUACUAAACAGGACAAGUAUGGGAGCUCCAGUAAGGCCAACGUUUAGGACCAGUCCAUGUCCGAGACGACAUUUGGGAGGGUGUCCAAUUUCAUCGGAUCUUUUGCAAUGUUUCCUCAGAAGGAUGAGCCUAGAGAUAUGGAAGAUCUAAAAGCCUCUGUGAAAGAUUUUUGUUCUGCAGAAGCCAAUGAUCUGGUACACUAGGACCUUAACUUCUGGAGUGAACGACUGCGGGAAUCAAAAUACAAUAUUGAUGAGGUUCUUUCUUUACAGAAGUAGAUUACAAUAUUGAUGAAAUUAGCUCCUGGCCAUUGCAUCAUUGCAUACUUAUUGGAAUUUGAUUUGCUCAUUAAUCAUAGGUUUAAACUUUUUUAGCUCUAAUGUAUGGGAAAAUUAUUUGCAUUUCUCAUCUAUCAUAGAUAUAUUGAUAUAUUGCUCUCCUAAAAUGCAUUGUUGUCCUAAGAUGUUAUUAUAUAUGUGACAUGUUAUUGGCUGAAUAUGAUUCAUACUUUACAAACUCCUUACAACUAGAGUAGGAUCCAACGAACUGAUGGUGAAAAAUAAACUGAACACUUGCUUUGAUUUGUUCAAAUUUUACAGAAACGGUUAUAACACACUUUUCUUUGCAAGCUGGAUACGAAGAGAAAUAUGUUAAAUGGACGGAAGAAAAAAAAUAUUAGGUAAGUGUUAGCAAGUCUGUGCUGGAUGCAGUGCACGGCCACGCCAAAUCCACACUGGUUGAGGAGGUGGCUCUGCAACUUGGAGUCCGGCAUAACGAGCUCUUCAUCACAAUUAGCUUGAGAUGAUGCAAGCGUUCCUCAUGGCUGUCCAGGAUGAGAGAUACGAUGCACUGAUGUAGUUUUGUAACCAAUCAUGUCUUUACACAGGCUUGCUAACCUACAUGUCUUUUAUCAUGUAGUUUACUAUUUUUAGGUAAACUUUCAGAGAAAACACAUAGUCUAAUUUUAAGGUGAUUAUGUCUGAUUGGUCUAAGUAGAUGGCAAAAGCACAUAUAAUUAUACAUCAUGGAUUGCAUAUGGACGAGAAUUUUGCUUGAGCCUUUGCUGGUGAUUCGUAACAAAAUACUCGAUAGUGGUUUGGCAAAUAUAGGAUUAAGCAUUAGACACUUCAUAUCUGCCCUUAAUAUCAAGGAAACGAGAUACUGUUGUGACAUUUAUUUACCCUACAACUCUGUUAUUCAGCAAUGGUAGUACGAGUCUUGGUACUGUUAUUACCUUUGUAGUGGAUAUAAUUAUUCCUGAAUGCACACGACAUCCACUUUUCUUGUUAAUAACUCAUAAUUGUGUGCUACUUUUUUCAGUACUACCGUCAGGUACCUGUGUUCUCUACCUUGUUAACCAGUAUGUAUGUGUAUACAUUUUUGAAUGAUUAGUGAGCUAGACCAAGAAGUGAGCAACAAUGUUUAUAUAGCAGGAAUUGUUGUUUUAUGCCUAAUAUCACGAAAUUUACCUAAAUAAUGAGUCUCGCAUUGCUAUUGUGAAAUGUCAUAUGAUGCAUGUGUCACUGAAAGGUUGAAGUAUGUGUGUAGGGUCCUUAUUCAUAGAUGAUCUUGAGCCUGUAGGGUCCUUGUUCAUAGAUGAUCUUGAGCUGUGGAGCUAUAGGCUGUAACAUCACGACCGCUUGCAGCCAACAAAGAGUUGGUCCAGCCAUGCUUUCAGGAAAUAUUGCUCCUUUGUAUCCUUUUCGGUUCUCAUUCCCUUUGCUUGACCCAAUUGAACUUUUUGUAGGAAGUGGUUUGUUCUCGUAAGUAAUGUUGGAGAAGAUUCUAUAUUUGUAGUGAUCACAAGAUGAAAACAUCAUCGACCUAAAUCUAGCACCCGCAAUGGAAAUCACAUAGCAGCAAAAGAACUUUACCGUAUAAUAUAUGCCAACUUCACAUGAGGAUCAACAUACAAAGAUAACAAUUUAAAUCAUGUCUUGUCACAGGUAAGAUAUGUUGUUGUUGAUCGUCUAAAUGAUGCAACUACACAGUCAGAGUAUGAUCUCCAACAGACAAACAUAUAUUAUUGGAGCCUGGACGAUGAUAUUGAAGGAAUCUCUGCUUGAGGUAAUGAUGGACCGCCAAUGGAUAUUUAGGGCAUACAUAUCAACUGCUCUGGCUGAUGCUCAUCGGCUCAUAACUACAACCAUCUAUACGGUGUACCAAUACUAUGUAUCAGCAUGGGGUUCUCUUAAAACACUAUGUAUCAAAACUAAGUUUCUAUUUGCUUAUGCUCAUUGUAAAUUUCUUAGAACAGUAUGUGUCAGCACUACGAGAUCAAUAUAUGCUA